Molecule: ribosomal RNA, 253 nt
Filed under: uncultured bacterium
Lineage: Bacteria
Description: partial 16S ribosomal RNA
Rfam family: Bacterial small subunit ribosomal RNA
Source: RNAcentral
UACAGAGGGUGCAAGCGUUAAUCGGAAUUACUGGGCGUAAAGCGUGCGUAGUCGGUUAUUUAAGUCGGGCGUGAAAGCCCCGGGCUCAACCUGGGAAUUGCGUUCGAUACUGGAUAGCUAGAGUUCGGAAGAGGGAAGCGGAAUUUCCGGUGUAGCGGUGAAAUGCGUAGAUAUCGGAAGGAACAUCAGUGGCGAAAGCGGCUUCCUGGACCAGAACUGACGAUCAGGCACGAAAGCGUGGGGAGCAAACAGG